AGUGAACGCUGGCGGUAGGCCUAACACAUGCAAGUCGAACGGCAGCACAGUAAGAGCUCGCUCUUACGGGUGGCGAGUGGCGGACGGGUGAGGAAUACAUCGGAAUCUACUUUUUCGUGGGGGAUAACGUAGGGAAACUUACGCUAAUACCGCAUACGACCUACGGGUGAAAGCAGGGGAUCUUCGCACCUUGCGCGACUGAAUGAGCCGGUGUCGGAUUAGCUAGUUGGCGGGGUAAAGGCCCACCAAGGCGACGAUACGUAGCUGGUCUGAGAGGAUGAUCAGCCACACUGGAACUGAGACACGGUCCAGACUCCUACGGGAGGCAGCAGUGGGGAAUAUUGGACAAUGGGCGCAAGCCUGAUCCAGCCAUACCGCGUGGGUGAAGAAGGCCUUCGGAUUGUAAAGCCCUUUUAUUGGGGAAGAAAAGCAGCAGGUGAAUACCCCGCUGUUCUGACGGUACCCAAAGAAUAAGCACCGGCUAACUUCGUG
This 492-nucleotide ribosomal RNA is filed under the name uncultured bacterium. RNAcentral's name for it is "partial 16S ribosomal RNA". It matches the Rfam family "Bacterial small subunit ribosomal RNA", at positions 29 to 507 of the family's 1533-position model. The record is from RNAcentral.